RNAcentral lists this ribosomal RNA (514 nucleotides) under uncultured bacterium. RNAcentral's name for it is "partial 16S ribosomal RNA". It matches the Rfam family "Bacterial small subunit ribosomal RNA", at positions 355 to 861 of the family's 1533-position model. The record is from RNAcentral.
UAGGGAAUCUUCCACAAUGGACGCAAGUCUGAUGGAGCAACGCCGCGUGAGUGAAGAAGGUUUUCGGACCGUAAAGCUCUGUUGUUGGUGAAGAAGGAUAGAGGUAGUAACUGGCCUUUAUUUGACGGUAAUCAACCAGAAAGUCACGGCUAACUACGUGCCAGCAGCCGCGGUAAUACGUAGGUGGCAAGCGUUGUCCGGAUUUAUUGGGCGUAAAGCGAGCGCAGGCGGAAGAAUAAGUCUGAUGUGAAAGCCCUCGGCUUAACCGAGGAAUUGCAUCGGAAACUGUUUUCUUGAGUGCAGAAGAGGAGAGUAGAACUCCAUGUGUAGCGGUGGAAUGCGUAGAUAUAUGGAAGAAUACCAGUGGCGAAGGCGGCUCUCUGGUCUGCAACUGACGCUGAGGCUCGAAAGCAUGGGUAGCGAACAGGAUUAGAUACCCUGGUAGUCCAUGCCGUAAACGAUGAGUGCUAAGUGUUGGGAGGCUUCCGCCUCUCAGUGCUGCAGCUAACGCAUU